RNAcentral lists this ribosomal RNA (270 nucleotides) under uncultured Desulfobulbus sp. RNAcentral's name for it is "partial 16S ribosomal RNA". It matches the Rfam family "Bacterial small subunit ribosomal RNA", at positions 1117 to 1382 of the family's 1533-position model. The record is from RNAcentral. Lineage: Bacteria; Pseudomonadati; Thermodesulfobacteriota; Desulfobulbia; Desulfobulbales; Desulfobulbaceae.
GCCAGCAGUUCGGCGUGGGCACUCUAAAGGGACUGCCGGUGUUAAACCGGAGGAAGGUGGGGAUGACGUCAAGUCCUCAUGGCCUUUAUGACCAGGGCUACACACGUACUACAAUGGCCGAUACAAAGGGCAGCGACACUGCGAGGUGAAGCCAAAUCCCGUAAAAAUCCGGUCUCAGUCCGGAUUGGAGUCUGCAACUCGACUCCAUGAAGUUGGAAUCGCUAGUAAUCGUGGAUCAGCAUAGCCACGGUGAAUACGUUCCCGGGCCUU